ACAGAAUGUGGAGUCACCACCCACUGCUUCCUUCACUCUCUCACUUCCCUAACAUCAAAAACUUUCAAGUGCCUGUGUCUAGCCCUACCCUUCUCCAUGACUGCCUGGAAAGCCACCUCCCAUUAAAAUGUUCUGGCAUGGUGCCUCCAGAACCCCUUACUUAGUUUUGUUUCCUGUCUUUUGCUCCUCAAAGUGUCUUAAUCUCAAAAAAUACUGAGGAAUCUGAAGGCAGACAUCCACGGCUGGGCCCCUGGUGGAGCACUGGGAGUCUAAUUAUUUCCACAGAAAACAAAAUGCUGUAGAUUCCUUCAAAGUUGAUCAAGAUGUCAGAUUUGACCAUGGGAGACCUCCUGAGGAUCUUGGAUAUAGACAUGAGGGGAAAAGCCAAGAAAGACUACAAGACAGGUGAUGUACAAGCUGAUCCCUCAAAAUGGGAACAGUUCUGAGACUUGGUAUACUAUGGGAUAACAAACUGUUCUAAAAAUACUUUGAUCUACUGAGGACCAUAAUCAAGAUAUCCAAAGCAGGAUUAAAUAAACCAACUUGCCAGGAGGAGUAUCAUAAUCAAAAAACAAACAAACAAACCAAAAUCAAAAACGUGUUCCUAUCCCAGCAUAAGAAGAUUUGGAAAUAGAUCCACAGAGUGCAAGAUAACUGCACAGAAAUCAAUAACCACCACAGAUGUAUUAACAAGUUCUAAGUAACUGGAGAAGAAGAUAUACCCUGUCAUCGUGUUUACCAACUGCAAGAUUUGAGACUGUGGAAAGAAUUUUUCUAUUGUAAU
This is a non-coding RNA of Peromyscus maniculatus bairdii (prairie deer mouse), 784 nucleotides long. NCBI's taxonomy places the organism in Eukaryota, Metazoa, Chordata, Mammalia, Rodentia, Cricetidae. The record is from RefSeq and is a predicted model, not a curated record.